RNAcentral lists this transfer-messenger RNA (392 nucleotides) under bovine gut metagenome. It matches the Rfam family "transfer-messenger RNA". Rfam says of the family: Bacterial tmRNA, also known as 10Sa RNA or SsrA, is named for its dual tRNA and mRNA-like properties. Its role is to liberate the mRNA from a stalled ribosome. The record is from RNAcentral.
GGGGAUGUUCUGGUUUUGACAGCAUCGACGUCGGGAAGUAAGCACGCCGGGCCAUGGGGUUAUGCCCGUUAAAACACACUCCAAACAACUAGCUGGCAACAGCAACUAUGCACUCGCUGCCUAAUCUGCCAAGCGGAUUAGCUUAAUGACGCCGCCUAGGUUGCGGCCUCACGAGUAUCCCUCCCGCUUCAGGGCGUCCAUGCCGGGGUCAAGGGGUAUCAUUCAGGAUGUCUGCUCGCGGGGACUCCCUUAAACCGCGCUAAGAUUUAGGGGAUAAGGUCCGGGUGGCCUGUCUUCCGGCAGCCCUCUCCCGACAAUCAAUGGAAGAAUAAGCGUGUAGAAAGCUUUUCGGUGCGUUGUUUGGACGGCGGUUCGACUCCGCCCAUCUCCAC